CCUACGGGUGGCAGCAGUGAGGAAUAUUGGUCAAUGGACGAGAGUCUGAACCAGCCAAGUAGCGUGAAGGAUGACUGCCCUAUGGGUUGUAAACUUCUUUUAUAUGGGAAUAAAAUGUUCCACGUGUGGGAUUUUGUAUGUACCUUAUGAAUAAGGAUCGGCUAACUCCGUGCCAGCAGCCGCGGUAAUACGGAGGAUCCGAGCGUUAUCCGGAUUUAUUGGGUUUAAGGGGAGCGUAGGUGGAUUGUUAAGUCAGUUGUAAAAGUUUGCGGCUAAACCGUAAAAUGGCAGUUGUAACUGGAGGUCUGAGUACAGUAGAGGUAGGCGGAAUUCGUGGUGUAGCGGUGAAAUGCUUAGAUAUCACGAAGAACUCCGAUUGCGAAGGCAGCUCACUGGACUGCAACUGACACUGAGGCUCGAAAGUGUGGGUAUCAAACAGGAUUAGAUACCCCUGUAGUC
This 459-nucleotide ribosomal RNA is filed under the name uncultured bacterium. RNAcentral's name for it is "partial 16S ribosomal RNA". It matches the Rfam family "Bacterial small subunit ribosomal RNA", at positions 338 to 795 of the family's 1533-position model. The record is from RNAcentral.